CUCUCUCUCUCUCUUAAUCGGAGAACCACCCACUAGAAGGAUUACUUAGAGAAACAUCACCACCAUGAUAACCCUUUAUUUCUCUCCAGAAGCCAUCCCAAUGCUCUUCACCUUCAUAUCCUUUGCAAAUUCAACAACUUAAAGAUGGCUUGGUUUUACCACCUAAUCCACCACAAGUUGUAAUCAAGAAGCUAUCCAAAUUUAUGGAGGCAACUAGGAAGGUUGAAAGAUGCAUUUAUCAUCGGUCUUAAAAAUUCAGAUACCCACCAACAUCCUCGUAUCCCUUUUCCCCCUCCCAUCCCGUAUAUCCAUGGAGGUAUGAUUUCAUUAGAAAUGGAUACAUAAAUCACCAUGAAUGAGAGAAAGGAAUGUUUGAUUUUGUAGUGGUUCUAGGUUUUGAUUUCAUUAAAGUUGGCUUUGGUUUCUGGUAUAUUAGAUUUCACUUUGGUUACCUGUGCUUUUGGUUUCAAGUUGAUUUCACAUUUGAGUAAUUUCAAUCAAUUCAGAACAUUUGUAAAAGAAUCAUAUAUGGAUUUUUGGGCAUAUCAGUAUUCCAUUCUUACUUUAUGCUUGACUGCAAGGAUUUGAAGCUCGAAAUUACAAAUGCCCAAAGGAUUACACAAUUGCCCAUCCCUCGAAACCUACAUUUGGGUGUGAAUCGACAACGAUUUGAAAGAUACAAUCUUGUGUAGGGGGUUGGCUAUAAAUCGACAACGAUCCCAGAUUUAUGCAUGUUUUUUUUAUCUAAACUUGAUUUUGGUGAGAAGUUUGGGUUUUUUUUUUCUCGAGUGGGGGUAUGAUGUGAAAAUUGUGUGUUUAUUAAUUAAUUGUACAUAGAGAGUGAGGAUAAGAAACGAGACCAAAAAAGAAGAAGGUGAAGUUGGGUCUAAACCCAAUUAGGUUUUUAGUGUUCAUAAUCAUCGAGGGGUAGAGUAUUGAAGGAUAUGAUUCGCCAGAGAAGAAAAAGUUCAUCGGAAAGGGGGUGAGACGCCUAUUGAUUGAUUUUAAUCUAUUGCGUGUAUAUGUUAAAUUCACUUGUGACUUAUAGGAAACGAAUUGUGUUCUUGUGAAAUCAAAAGGGAGAUAUAAUCUUGAAAGAAUUGUUGGGGAGUUGAGAGAGAGAGAGAGAGAGAGAGAGAGAGAGUGAGAGAGAGAGAAGGUUGGGUGAGAUUUUAUUUUUUAUUUUUUUAAUUAUUUAAAUACCAAAAUAAAUAAAGAAAAUUGAAAAAAAGAAAUGGAAAGUGUUUAACCGUCUUCUCAAUUAUGAAGUACGAUGACGGACUAAGCAAGAGUAUGAAAGUCUUUUCCUUUGUAAAUCAUUUCAACAUUUGUCAUGUUGGCAUUGACAAAGAAGAAACUGUAUCCAUUUGUUAUUGCAUAUAAUUUGCUUGUAUAAUAUUACAAAAUUAAUAUGUUAAUGAUAUUUUUAGUAUAAAUGAGGUGCAUAUAUAUUGUCGAUCUGUUAUUGCAUAUAAUUUUAUAUAACUAAACACUUACAGUAAUGGAAUUUCUAGCAACAUAGGGCAUACAAUUCAAAAACAUGAAGAUAGACGAUGUCUACGUAAUGCUUCACAAACUGAUCUGCCAUCUGCAUUAAACAAACAACGUCCUCGAAAAAUUCCAAGCAAAACUAGAAGAAGGAUUGACCAAGCAGCAGGAGUACUACAACACCAUAGAAACUCGCCCACGCUUCCUGAACUUUGCAAUAUUCGGCAACGUUCUCGAGAAAGGAAAGACACGUCACAACAAGAUGCGGAUAAUCAUCGCCUCCCUCCAGGAAAAAAUCAAAGAAGCAAUUGUCGACCAAGGAAACCCAUGAAGGAAUUCACUGACGAUUAGCUACCGACCAUUCCCUAUCUUAUGUCGGUUAUGUGUGAUUAGUUAACGUCCAACUAAUGUCCUUUUUUGCUAUCGUCUAUGUAAUAGUUUUCUUAUCCUUUGUAUUAACUCCAUGUUCUAAAACAAGACGUUGAUAAACUUUUACUUUAUCGUUUGAACUUAUUAUCACAUGCAAAUACUUAAAACAAAACAAAU
RNAcentral lists this long non-coding RNA (2034 nucleotides) under Lactuca sativa (garden lettuce). Its description in RNAcentral is "long non-coding RNA (LSAT_LNC008158)". Lineage: Eukaryota; Viridiplantae; Streptophyta; Magnoliopsida; Asterales; Asteraceae. The record is from RNAcentral.